RNAcentral lists this ribosomal RNA (263 nucleotides) under uncultured archaeon. RNAcentral's name for it is "partial 16S ribosomal RNA". It matches the Rfam family "Archaeal small subunit ribosomal RNA", at positions 718 to 982 of the family's 1478-position model. The record is from RNAcentral.
AGUCACUGACAUUAGAUACCCGGUAGUCCCAGCCGUAAACAAUGUGCGUUAGGUGUGUCGGUAACCACGUGUUACUGAUGCGUCGAAGAGAAAUCGUGAAACGCACCACCUGGGAAGUACGGUCGCAAGGCUGAAACUUAAAGGAAUUGGCGGGGAGCACCACAACAGGUGGAGCCUGCGGUUUAAUUGGAUUCAACGCCGGACAUCUCACCGGAUAAGACAGCUGAAUGAUUGUCAAUCUGAAGGUUUUACAUGACUAGCUG